This 405-nucleotide ribosomal RNA is filed under the name uncultured bacterium. Its description in RNAcentral is "bacterial SSU rRNA". It matches the Rfam family "Bacterial small subunit ribosomal RNA", at positions 370 to 772 of the family's 1533-position model. The record is from RNAcentral.
AAUGCCCGCAAGGGUGAUCCAGCCAUGCCGCGUGCAGGAAGACGGACCUAUGGUUUGUAAACUGCUUUUGAACAAGAGAAAACCCCCUUACGUGUAAGGGGCUGAUAGUAUUGUUAGAAUAAGCAUCGGCUAACUUCGUGCCAGCAGCCGCGGUAAGACGAAGGAUGCAAGCGUUAUCCGGAUUCAUUGGGUUUAAAGGGAGCGUAGGCGGCUUGAUAAGUCAGUGGUGAAAUCUUCUCGCUUAACGAGAAAACUGCCAUUGAUACUGUCAAGCUUGAGUACAGUUGCCGUUGGCGGAAUAUGACAUGUAGUGGUGAAAUACAUAGAGAUGUCAUAGAACACCGAUUGCGAAGGCAGCUAACGAAACUGUAACUGACGCUGAGGCUCGAAAGUGCGGGGAUCAAA